GGGCUGGCUUUAGCUCAGCAGUUACUUCGACAUUGCUUUCUAUGGUGAUGACAUGGUCAACCUACGACCUCUUCCCAGCUUGCAA
Molecule: small RNA, 85 nt
Filed under: Saimiri boliviensis boliviensis (Bolivian squirrel monkey)
Lineage: Eukaryota; Metazoa; Chordata; Mammalia; Primates; Cebidae
Description: Vault RNA (ENSSBOG00000004305.1)
Source: RNAcentral